GGGAAUCUUCCACAAUGGGCGAAAGCCUGAUGGAGCAACGCCGCGUGGGUGAAGAAGGUCUUCGGAUCGUAAAACCCUGUUGCGGGGGAAAAAAGGCAGCAUCAGGAAAUGGGUGCUGACUGAUGGUGCCCCGCCAGAAAGUCACGGCUAACUACGUGCCAGCAGCCGCGGUAAUACGUAGGUGGCGAGCGUUAUCCGGAAUGAUUGGGCGUAAAGGGUGCGCAGGCGGUCCUGCAAGUCUGGAGUGAAACGCAUGAGCUCAACUCAUGCAUGGCUUUGGAAACUGGAGGACUGGAGAGCAGGAGAGGGCGGUGGAACUCCAUGUGUAGCGGUAAAAUGCGUAGAUAUAUGGAAGAACACCAGUGGCGAAGGCGGCCGCCUGGCCUGUUGCUGACGCUGAGGCACGAAAGCGUGGGGAGCAAAUAGG
Molecule: ribosomal RNA, 427 nt
Filed under: uncultured bacterium
Lineage: Bacteria
Description: bacterial SSU rRNA
Rfam family: Bacterial small subunit ribosomal RNA
Source: RNAcentral